Ictalurus punctatus (channel catfish) is the source of this 2048-nucleotide long non-coding RNA. Lineage: Eukaryota; Metazoa; Chordata; Actinopteri; Siluriformes; Ictaluridae. The record is from Ensembl.
GUGCUGUCCAAAAUCCAAUCGUUGUCCAAAAUACGUCCAAAAUCUAAGUGCUGUCCAAAAAUAAGUCCAAAAUCUAAGUGCUGUCCAAAAUCCAAUCGUCCAAAAAUACGUCCAAGAUCCAAUCACUGUCCAAAAAUACGUCCAAAAUCCAAUCACUGUCCAAAAUCUAAGCGUUGUCCAAAAAUAUGUCCAAAAUUGGUGUUGUCCAAAAUCCAGUCAUUGUCCAAUUGUUCUUAAGAGCAAGUCCAAAAAUAGUCAAUACAGAUUAGACACGAAGUGAAAAUGCGUGUAAAGCCCGUAUUCGGAGGGCGGGAUUAGUUUCUCGAGUGUAACGUUGUUAUUCCCGGAGGAUCUCGAUGAUGUGUAUUGUUUCCGAUGUCCUCUCUGACCUCGCCUCCUCCGGGAGAGAACUCUGCGGGGUCGGUUUUAGCGCUAAAGCCUUUUGGGGGUUUGGGUUGUGAUUUAGAAUGUUCAGCCGCUGAUGCUCCAGUAACAGUUUAUUUCGAUAGAAGGGUGUGUCUGUGGGCUUUUCCACACCAGACUGGGGAAAUAACCUGCGUGCAGUCGAUCAGCGGACACUCGACCGUAUCGUUUCUGCACGUUCGCUCGGUUUGUGUGUUUGCGGUUGGAACCGUGACGUGUGUUCAUGCAGUUCCACUUCUGAGUUGAUUUUCAUUUUUAAAAAGUGCAUUUUCUCACCUCGCCAGCAUCUGAUGCUUUGGUUGCCAUCGUUACGCGUGAACUCCGUCCGGAACAGAGUGGUGUUUAUGAUCCGAAAGAUGUUUUUGAGAGCCAUGAAAUCUCCCGUCGGGCUUCAUUCGUCCCUUUGUUGUUGUGUGUAAAUGUUCGCGUAAGGCAAACGGAACAAAAAUCUUCCGCCGGAUUUCGAAAAGUUUCUAAACGCGUUCCUGAUGCGGCUCGUUUGCAUGUAGCGACGCCCACAAACCUCCAUAAAAGGUCAUGCGCGCGCACAGCUGGAAGCACGGAAUGAGAGAUCAGGGUGAAGGCUGGGAGGCGGAACUGGAAGUCGCUUCUACGCCACCGAGGCGUCUGUUGACAGCUCUGCGCAGCGUUACUACCUCACGUGACCUCGUAACCACGUCGUGUUGCACGUCUGAACGGAUAUUCGAACGAGCUAGUUCAUAUUAAAUGCGGAAAUACUGAGGGAAACUAAACCGAGAGGGAAAUGACGCCUCUCUUUAUUUGCUCUGUCCCAGGAGUGAUGCUCAGUGGACGUCGUGACGGUUUAAUGAUUAGAUUCGAUCGGAUUAGAUCAGACGGAGUGCGUGUUGGAAUUUCUGUGCCGUUUUAGUUUAGUUCAGUUUGAUCUAGUUGAUGUGAACACCGCACCUGUACUCGGGUGCGCACCAAAAAACCAUUCCCAGGGUCUCGGUGCUCGUCUGUGUGACGCGGUCACCGGUGGGAGGAGUUUCACCAUGACGCCGUGAAAGUGACCGUUUUUAUCGUCAUGACGAUGUAAAUCCCGCUUUGUUUGUUUGUUUGUUUGUUUGUUUGUUUGCUAUGCACAAGGUGGGAUGAAUCGGGUCCAAAAUUUCUCCAAGACCCAAACCUUUGGGUCCGAACCCAAACCUGUCGUUCCGUCUCUUUCAUUCUUUUCUUCUUGCUUUCUGCACGUUUCGGUGUCUCUCUCUUUCCAUUCCGUUUCCCUCCCUUUUCUGUCUCCGUUUCCUUUCUGCGUCUGUUUUAUUUCCUUUUUCUUUCAUUUUUCCUUUCUUCUUUCCGUUUCCUUUUUCCUUUUCUGUUUCGCGACUUUUUCUUCCCGUCUUUCGUUCUCUUUCGAUCCUUUCGUUUUUUUCUUUCUUUAAUUUAUUUUUCAUUUCUGCGUCCAUCUACCCUCUUUCUUUCUGUAUCCCAUUUUCAUUUUUCUUUGUGCACCUGUCUGUCUGUCCUUUUUCUUUUUUCUUUCUGUCUUUUACUUUCUGCACCCGACCGUCCGCUUGCUCUCUUCGCCUUUCUGUCUUCGUCCGUCUUUCUUUUUCCCUUCUUUUGCAUGUGAUUUUCCUUCCUGUGACUUUUCUUUCUUUCCG